AAACUACUCUCAACAACGGAUAUCUUGGUUCUCGCAACGAUGAAGAACGCAGCGAAAUGCGAUACGUAGUGUGAAUUGCAGAAUUCCGUGAAUCAUCGAAUCUUUGAACGCAUAUUGCCGCUGCAGGCAUUUUGCCGGCAGCAUAUGUGCCUGAGUGUCAUAAGU
RNAcentral lists this ribosomal RNA (165 nucleotides) under Verdigellas peltata. Its description in RNAcentral is "5.8S ribosomal RNA". It matches the Rfam family "5.8S ribosomal RNA". Rfam says of the family: 5.8S ribosomal RNA (5.8S rRNA) is a component of the large subunit of the eukaryotic ribosome. It is transcribed by RNA polymerase I as part of the 45S precursor that also contains 18S and 28S rRNA. Lineage: Eukaryota; Viridiplantae; Prasinodermophyta; Palmophyllophyceae; Palmophyllales; Palmophyllaceae. The record is from RNAcentral.